RNAcentral lists this ribosomal RNA (497 nucleotides) under uncultured bacterium. RNAcentral describes it as "partial 16S ribosomal RNA". It matches the Rfam family "Bacterial small subunit ribosomal RNA", at positions 28 to 507 of the family's 1533-position model. The record is from RNAcentral.
GAUGAACGCUGGCGGCGUGCCUAAUACAUGCAAGUCGAGCGAACAGACGAGGAGCUUGCUCCUCUGACGUUAGCGGCGGACGGGUGAGUAACACGUGGAUAACCUACCUAUAAGACUGGGAUAACUUCGGGAAACCGGAGCUAAUACCGGAUAAUAUAUUGAACCGCAUGGUUCAAUAGUGAAAGACGGUUUUGCUGUCACUUAUAGAUGGAUCCGCGCCGCAUUAGCUAGUUGGUAAGGUAACGGCUUACCAAGGCGACGAUGCGUAGCCGACCUGAGAGGGUGAUCGGCCACAAUGGAACUGAGACACGGUCCAGACUCCUACGGGAGGCAGCAGUAGGGAAUCUUCCGAAAUGGGCGAAAGCCUGACGGAGCAACGCCGCGUGAGUGAUGAAGGUCUUCGGAUCGUAAAACUCUGUUAUUAGGGAAGAACAAAUGUGUAAGUAACUAUGCACGUCUUGACGGUACCUAAUCAGAAAGCCACGGCUAACUACGUG